This 826-nucleotide ribosomal RNA is filed under the name Cortinarius sp. 15 RT-2012. RNAcentral's name for it is "eukaryotic LSU rRNA". The stretch from base 291 to 444 matches the Rfam family "5.8S ribosomal RNA". Lineage: Eukaryota; Fungi; Basidiomycota; Agaricomycetes; Agaricales; Cortinariaceae. The record is from RNAcentral.
AGAGGAAGUAAAAGUCGUAACAAGGUUUCCGUAGGUGAACCUGCGGAAGGAUCAUUAUUGAAAUAAACCUGAUGGGUUGCUGCUGGCUCUCUCGGGAGCAUGUGCACACUUGUCAUCUUUAUAUCUCCACCUGUGCACCUUUUGUAGAUCUGGAUAUCUUUCUGAAUGCCUGCAUUCAGGUUUGAGGAUUGACUUGUCUUUCCUUACAUUUCCAGGCCUAUGUUUCUUCAUAUACACCAUGUAUGUUAUAGAAUGUAAUGAAAAGGGCCUUUGUGCCUACAAACUUAUACAACUUUCAGCAACGGAUCUCUUGGCUCUCGCAUCGAUGAAGAACGCAGCGAAAUGCGAUAAGUAAUGUGAAUUGCAGAAUUCAGUGAAUCAUCGAAUCUUUGAACGCACCUUGCGCUCCUUGGUAUUCCGAGGAGCAUGCCUGUUUGAGUGUCAUUAAUAUAUCAACCUCCUCAGGUUUUUACUUGUCGAGUGUUUGGAUGUGGGGGUUUUUUUUGCUGGUCUCUNUUGAGAUCGGCUCCCCUGAAAUGCAUUAGCGGAACAAUUUGUUGACCCGUUCAUUGGUGUGAUAACUAUCUACGCUAUUGACGUGAAGCAGGUUCAGCUUCUAACAGUCCAUUAACUUGGACAAAUUUUCAUUAAUGUGACCUCAAAUCAGGUAGGACUACCCGCUGAACUUAAGCAUAUCAAUAAGCGGAGGAAAAGAAACUAACAAGGAUUCCCCUAGUAACUGCGAGUGAAGCGGGAAAAGCUCAAAUUUAAAAUCUGNCAGUCUUUGGCUGUCCGAGUUGUAAUCUAGAGAAGUGUUAUCCGCGCU